UACGAAGGGGGCUAGCGUUGUUCGGAAUUACUGGGCGUAAAGCGUGCGCAGGCGGCCUUCCAAGUCAGGGGUGAAAGCCCAGAGUUCAACUCUGGAAUUGCCUUUGAGACUGUGAGGCUUGAGUACGGGAGAGGUGAGUGGAAUUCCCAGUGUAGAGGUGAAAUUCGUAGAUAUUGGGAAGAACACCGGUGGCGAAGGCGGCUCACUGGCCCGAAACUGACGCUCAUGCACGACAGCGUGGGGAUCAAACAGG
Molecule: ribosomal RNA, 253 nt
Filed under: uncultured bacterium
Lineage: Bacteria
Description: partial 16S ribosomal RNA
Rfam family: Bacterial small subunit ribosomal RNA
Source: RNAcentral